RNAcentral lists this ribosomal RNA (253 nucleotides) under uncultured bacterium. RNAcentral's name for it is "partial 16S ribosomal RNA". It matches the Rfam family "Bacterial small subunit ribosomal RNA", at positions 524 to 776 of the family's 1533-position model. The record is from RNAcentral.
UACAGAGGGUGCGAGCGUUAAUCGGAAUUACUGGGCGUAAAGCGCGCGUAGGCGGCUUUGCAAGUCGGGUGUGAAAUCCCCAGGCUUAACCUGGGAACUGCAUUCGAGACUGCAAGGCUUGAGUGCGGCAGAGGAGACUGGAAUUCCUGGUGUAGCAGUGAAAUGCGUAGAUAUCAGGAGGAAUACCGAUGGCGAAGGCAGGUCUCUGGGCUGACACUGACGCUCAUGCACGAAAGCGUGGGGAGCAAACAGG